RNAcentral lists this ribosomal RNA (792 nucleotides) under uncultured Bacillota bacterium. Its description in RNAcentral is "bacterial SSU rRNA". It matches the Rfam family "Bacterial small subunit ribosomal RNA", at positions 556 to 1348 of the family's 1533-position model. Lineage: Bacteria; Bacillati; Bacillota. The record is from RNAcentral.
GGGCGUAAAGCGAGCGCAGGCGGUUUCUUAAGUCUGAUGUGAAAGCCUUCGGCUCAACCGAAGAAGUGCAUCGGAAACUGGGAAACUUGAGUGCAGAAGAGGACAGUGGAACUCCAUGUGUAGCGGUGAAAUGCGUAGAUAUAUGGAAGAACACCAGUGGCGAAGGCGGCUGUCUGGUCUGUAACUGACGCUGAGGCUCGAAAGCAUGGGUAGCAAACAGGAUUAGAUACCCUGGUAGUCCAUGCCGUAAACGAUGAGUGCUAGGUGUUGGAGGGUUUCCGCCCUUCAGUGCCGCAGCUAACGCAUUAAGCACUCCGCCUGGGGAGUACGACCGCAAGGUUGAAACUCAAAGGAAUUGACGGGGGCCCGCACAAGCGGUGGAGCAUGUGGUUUAAUUCGAAGCAACGCGAAGAACCUUACCAGGUCUUGACAUCCUUUGACCACUCUAGAGAUAGAGCUUUCCCUUCGGGGACAAAGUGACAGGUGGUGCAUGGUUGUCGUCAGCUCGUGUCGUGAGAUGUUGGGUUAAGUCCCGCAACGAGCGCAACCCUUAUUACUAGUUGCCAGCAUUUAGUUGGGCACUCUAGUGAGACUGCCGGUGACAAACCGGAGGAAGGUGGGGACGACGUCAAAUCAUCAUGCCCCUUAUGACCUGGGCUACACACGUGCUACAAUGGAUGGUACAACGAGUUGCGAGACCGCGAGGUUUAGCUAAUCUCUUAAAACCAUUCUCAGUUCGGAUUGUAGACUGCAACUCGCCUACAUGAAGCCGGAAUCGCUAGUAAUCGCGGA